GCGGACGGCCGGAUGACCGCGGACCGACGGCCCGUGCCGGCACGGUCCGAGGAAAGUCCGGGCUCCAUGCAGGCACGGUGCCGGGUAACGCCCGGCGGGGGCAACCCCAGGGAAAGCGCCACAGAGAACAGACCGCCCGGACCUGUCCGGGCAAGGGUGAAACGGUGGGGUAAAAGCCCACCGCGGGACGGGCAACCGGACCGGCACGGCAAGCCCCACCGGGAGCAAUGCCGAAUAGGGAUCGCGCGCGGGGGCCUGCCCCCGCAGGGCCGCCUGCGCCCCAGCAGAUCCGGGUUGGCAGCUUGAUCCCGUCGGCGACGGCGGGACCAGAGGAAUGGUCAUCCACGGGCGGAAACGCCCCGGACAGAACCCGGCUUACAGGCCGUCCGCGCGU
Molecule: RNase P RNA, 394 nt
Filed under: Paracoccus contaminans
Lineage: Bacteria; Pseudomonadati; Pseudomonadota; Alphaproteobacteria; Rhodobacterales; Paracoccaceae
Description: Bacterial RNase P class A
Rfam family: Bacterial RNase P class A
About the family: Ribonuclease P (RNase P) is a ubiquitous endoribonuclease, found in archaea, bacteria and eukarya as well as chloroplasts and mitochondria. Its best characterised activity is the generation of mature 5'-ends of tRNAs by cleaving the 5'-leader elements of precursor-tRNAs. Cellular RNase Ps are ribonucleoproteins.
Source: Rfam by way of RNAcentral